This 564-nucleotide ribosomal RNA is filed under the name Triticum aestivum (bread wheat). RNAcentral's name for it is "partial small subunit ribosomal RNA". Lineage: Eukaryota; Viridiplantae; Streptophyta; Magnoliopsida; Poales; Poaceae. The record is from RNAcentral.
CCCUAACGGAAGUUCUACCUUGGAGAUGUUGGCUAUGCAUGUCGGCCGGGUAUUCUUCCACCCUUCAGGAAAACAAGGUACCAUCUCAACAAGUCCUCUGGUAGGAACUAUCCUAGGACUGCACAGGAGUUGUUUAAUCUCAGACACUCCAGCCUUAGAGUAACUGUUGAGAGGGCAUUUGGAGCUCUGAAGAAUAGGUUUAAGAUCCUGGAUCAGAAGUCAUUCCACCCAUACUCCACUCAGGUUAAGCUAGUUCUUGCUUGUUGCAUUCUGCAUAACUGGAGCCUCCAGUGGGGCUUUGAUGAAUACAUGCCUGAGGAGGAAGAUGUCGAGCCUGACGAUGUUGUUAGCUCCGGCCAUGGUGUGGAGGCAUUUGACAAUGACGCUUGGAAGAAUAAAAGGUUGGAGUGGGCAGAGGCGAUGUGGCUUAACAGAGGUCAGUGCAGGAUUUUAGGAAGAUGGAAGAAGAACAAGAAGCAGCAGCAGUACCAGAAGCAGCAGCAGAAGGAGAAGAAGAGAGGAAGAGGAAGAUCUGGUAGCACCGAUGAACUAUCCUCUAUUUAG